GAUGAACGCUAGCGGGAGGCUUAACACAUGCAAGUCGAGCGGUAUUUCCCUUCGGGGAGAGAGAGCGGCGCACGGGUGCGUAACGCGUAUGCAAUCUGCCUUAUGCAGGGGGAUAGCCCGGGGGAAACCCGGAUUAAUACCCCAUAGAUCAGUAGAACCGCAUGGUUUAAUUGGUAAAGAUUUAUCGGCAUAAGAUGAGCAUGCGUCUGAUUAGCUAGUUGGUAGGGUAACGGCCUACCAAGGCGACGAUCAGUAGGGGUUCUGAGAGGAUUACCCCCCACACUGGUACUGAGACACGGACCAGACUCCUACGGGUGGCUG
This 321-nucleotide ribosomal RNA is filed under the name uncultured Bacteroidota bacterium. Its description in RNAcentral is "bacterial SSU rRNA". It matches the Rfam family "Bacterial small subunit ribosomal RNA", at positions 28 to 351 of the family's 1533-position model. The record is from RNAcentral. Lineage: Bacteria; Pseudomonadati; Bacteroidota.